This 1097-nucleotide long non-coding RNA is filed under the name Sus scrofa (pig). Its description in RNAcentral is "lncRNA (ENSSSCG00070023437.1)". The record is from RNAcentral. Lineage: Eukaryota; Metazoa; Chordata; Mammalia; Artiodactyla; Suidae.
GCCUGCUGUUGUCCAGGAGCGCACGUGCGCGGCGGGGGGGCUGCGAGGGGUACGCAGCUCGCUUUCCCCUGGCCGCGAAGGCCAGCGGGGCGCUGGAAGGGGGCCGGGGUGCAACCCCGGGGGGUUCGGGCAAGGUCGACUGCCUUGGCUUCUGCAUUGUGCUGCGGUGAAAAAAUAAAAAACCUGCCGCAGCAGCAGUUACGCCGGGAAGAGACAUCUUCGGAGACCACAGCAGUGGCUCCUCUGCACUCCCAGCUGACCCCUGGAUACUGUCACCGCGCGGCGGAGAGGGGGUGUUGCCGCAAGUCAGGAAGCUCCUGGUCUCUCCAUCACUUGCGCAAUUCGGGCUAAAAUCUUCUCGCAUCGGUUAUUAUUUGGAAUCUGGGCCUAAAAGUUUUUUCGGUUGUCUUCUUCAUUCAGAGUUAUGGACCUGAAGAUUGGAAGUGACCUGGCAAGGGAGAAGAAGGACAAGCAAGAGUGAAAGAGUAGCAAACCCUGAAGUGGUUCCAAGGGUUUACCUCGUGACCACAGAGACCCAUCUCUGCCAGAGAGGAACAAGCAUGCAGAGAAGAAUUCAAUAGCCUGGGUUGUUCCUGGGAUUGGUGAGCUUUAAAAUCUCCUGUGAUGUCAAGAAGAGGAAAGCCUUCACAUCCCAGGUUUGGCCAUCACAUCCCCGAAUUCAGCUGCAUUGGCUGAAUGUUAAAUGGUUUAUGCCCAGCUAGUGGGAAGGUGAAUAAUACGUAAAGGAGCUGGGAUCUACACAUACGUUGGAUGACACAGACAUUGUACUUCAGAGUCUCGAAGCAUUUUGACUCUAAAUCUUCACACCCGCCAUACCCAUCUACAUAUCUGCUUUUGAAUAGUCGGCCAGAUAGUAGCUCCUUUGCGGGUGUCCUAGUAGGGUGCCUCUCCACUUGCAGAAUUCUAGAUGUCAACUGCCCCGGGCUGUGACCUUGGGCCAUUCCUAUUCCUUUUCUACACUCCCUCCCAGGGCAGCCUCCUCCAGCCCUAGGCUUUAAAUAGCCUCCAUUCACUGAUGUAUAUCUUUAACCCUGACCUCUCACCAGUACUCCAGGCUCGUAUAUCCAGCUGCCUCC